GUGCCAGCCGCCGCGGUAAUACGUAGGUGGCAAGCGUUGUCCGGAAUUAUUGGGCGUAAAGGGCGCGUAGGCGGUACCCUAAGUCAGAUGUGAAAUCCCGGGGCUUAACUCCGGACGUGCAUUUGAAACUGGGGAACUCGAGUGCAGGAGAGGUAAGUGGAAUUCCUAGUGUAGCGGUGAAAUGCGUAGAUAUUAGGAGGAACACCAGUGGCGAAGGCGACUUACUGGACUGUAACUGACGCUGAGGCGCGAAAGCGUGGGGAGCAAACAGGAUUAGAUACCCUGGUAGUCCACGCUGUAAACGAUGGAUACUAGGUGUGGGAGGUAUCGACCCCUUCCGUGCCGCAGUAAACGCAAUAAGUAUCCCGCCUGGGGAGUACGGCCGCAAGGUUGAA
This 395-nucleotide ribosomal RNA is filed under the name uncultured bacterium. Its description in RNAcentral is "bacterial SSU rRNA". It matches the Rfam family "Bacterial small subunit ribosomal RNA", at positions 505 to 898 of the family's 1533-position model. The record is from RNAcentral.